UCAUUCUACCUGCACUCUGAUCUUGCUCUGAUUUGCAGCAGCGACAAGUGUACGAAAACCCUUACCCUUCAUCUCAGAUUUCUUCUUCUUCCAUUUAACUCGCCGUCGACAGGUGCCGGAGUUGUUCGCCGCUGCUGUGACAACCUGCCGCGAGUCCUUCCCCUGCUUCACCGUCAUUUCUCUGCUCACCUUCCUUGAGGUCGUGGUGAGUGCGUGGGCGUCUUCUUCCUCCUCUUCGAUUGUAGCUCGCCGCCGCUGUCGGGGAGAGCUCAGAGGGUCCGUCUGCCAACUCAUGGGUUUGAGUUUGUUGUGCUGUGGGAGUUAAUUCUUGGCUGUGAGAGGUUCGUUUUGUUGGCCGUCGCUCUUUUCGCCUGCACUUGCCGUCGUUCCUUCCUCCCUGUGUCUGCCAAUGUGAACGAAGUAGGAGUUGAAAUACAAGCAGGUAAUGACACCUAGAAAGAAAACUGCAAAUGCUCCGGAAAAAGUCCAUAAGAAGGCAUCUCGGAAGCCCACUUCCUCUGAAUGAUGUGGUUGUAUGUUUCUCCCUGAUGGAUUAUCAAU
Prosopis cineraria is the source of this 561-nucleotide long non-coding RNA. RefSeq lists it as uncharacterized. The transcript is spliced from 3 exons. The record is from RefSeq and is a predicted model, not a curated record. NCBI's taxonomy places the organism in Eukaryota, Viridiplantae, Streptophyta, Magnoliopsida, Fabales, Fabaceae.